Molecule: ribosomal RNA, 566 nt
Filed under: Diaporthe columnaris
Lineage: Eukaryota; Fungi; Ascomycota; Sordariomycetes; Diaporthales; Diaporthaceae
Description: eukaryotic LSU rRNA
Rfam family: 5.8S ribosomal RNA (bases 212-365)
Source: RNAcentral
CAAGGUCUCCGUUGGUGAACCAGCGGAGGGAUCAUUGCUGGAACGCGCUUCGGCGCACCCAGAAACCCUUUGUGAACUUAUACCUUACUGUUGCCUCGGCGCAGGCCGGCCUCUCCACCGAGGCCCCUCUGAGAGGAGGAGCAGCCCGCCGGCGGCCAACUAAACUCUUGUUUCUUAGUGAAUCUCUGAGUAAAAAAACAUAAUGAAUCAAAACUUUCAACAACGGAUCUCUUGGUUCUGGCAUCGAUGAAGAACGCAGCGAAAUGCGAUAAGUAAUGUGAAUUGCAGAAUUCAGUGAAUCAUCGAAUCUUUGAACGCACAUUGCGCCCUCUGGUAUUCCGGAGGGCAUGCCUGUUCGAGCGUCAUUUCAACCCUCAAGCACUGCUUGGUGUUGGGGCACCGCCUGUGAAAGGGCGGGCCCUGAAAUCUAGUGGCGAGCUCGCCAGGACCCCGAGCGUAGUAGUUACAUCUCGCUCUGGAAGGCCCUGGCGGUGCCCUGCCGUUAAACCCCCAACUUCUGAAAUUUUGACCUCGGAUCAGGUAGGAAUACCCGCUGAACUUAAGCA